GUACCAUAUUACAUCAUGUCUCAUACAUGUUUUUAUACAAUACCAUAAGAAAACAUAUGGAAAGCAGUCGAACAAAACAUGCAAAAACAAAACUUCGAUGCAAAACAACAUUGUCCCUAACCCAUCAUCGAUUAUGCCGACUGACUUCCACCAACUCCGCAAUUAUGAAUCUGAGAAUUUAGUAUAGAACACUAUGAGUAUAAAGAAUACUUAGUAAGAUACCAUGCUUAGAUUUUAACAUGUUAAUACUACACAAAAGAAUGCAAUCAAACACAUACUUGCACAUUCCGGCUUGUCGGUGCCCUUCGGAC
Molecule: long non-coding RNA, 311 nt
Filed under: Olea europaea (common olive)
Lineage: Eukaryota; Viridiplantae; Streptophyta; Magnoliopsida; Lamiales; Oleaceae
Description: long non-coding RNA (OEUR_LNC000691)
Source: RNAcentral